RNAcentral lists this transfer RNA (69 nucleotides) under Eirmotus octozona. RNAcentral describes it as "tRNA-Phe". It matches the Rfam family "tRNA". From Rfam's summary of the family: Transfer RNA (tRNA) molecules are approximately 80 nucleotides in length. Their secondary structure includes four short double-helical elements and three loops (D, anti-codon, and T loops). The record is from RNAcentral. Lineage: Eukaryota; Metazoa; Chordata; Actinopteri; Cypriniformes; Cyprinidae.
GCCAACGUAGCUUAACAUAAAGCAUAGCACUGAAGAUGCUAAGAUGAGACCUAAAAAGCUCCGUACGCA